Molecule: long non-coding RNA, 10446 nt
Organism: Meriones unguiculatus (Mongolian gerbil)
Lineage: Eukaryota; Metazoa; Chordata; Mammalia; Rodentia; Muridae
Exons: 3
Source: RefSeq, a predicted model, not a curated record
AACACUGGCAGGCAAAAGGCACCGUUGUUAUUCUUUUACCAAAGAGGCUCAGUACAUGCAAACGGCUUACCCAGAUGUGUUUACCCAGGUCUUUGCAUGACUCCUGGUUUUGUAAAUGCAGCCUCAUGUCUAGUUAAAGCAAAAACAUAUUGCGGGAUAGGUUCUGUUUUAGACAAAGUCUUUUUAAAAUUUAUUUGUCUUUCCACACGGCCUGGGAUGUUCUGGAACUCACUAUGUAGAGCAGGCUGUCCUCAUAUUCAUGGAGAUCUGCCUGCCUCUGACUCCCAGGCGUUAGAAUUAAAAGCGGGUGCUGUUAUUGUCAGCUAAAAUAAGCUUUUUUUUUUUUUUGAGACACUCUCUGCUGUGUCCCAGGCUAGCCUCCAACGCCCUAUCAGAGCUCAAGAUGACCGUGAACACCUGUUUUUCCUGCCUCUGAAGGUUCUCUGUGGAUCUCCUGCUGUGGAUUGGGCAUAAGGUUUUCUGCGAGCUAGGCACACACUCUACAAAAUCAGUUGCUUAUUUAUUUUUAAGUGUAUGCGUAUUUGUGUGUGUGUGUGUGUGUGUGCAGUGCCUGAGAUGUCAGAAGAGAGCACUGGAUCCCCUGGAAUUGGACCUAUAGAUAGCUGUGAGCACCAUGUAGGUGCUGGGAAUCAAACCCAGGUCCUUUGAAAGAGCAACCAGAACUCUUACAGAAUGAGCCCAGACAGUCUUACUGUGUAGCCUAGGCUGGCCUUGAAUUCUGAUUCUCUCGCCUCACCCUCCUGAGUUAUGGGGCCUCAGGCAUUCAAUCCGUAAUCACCUUAGGUAAUUUUCAUUUAUUUAUUUUAUCUGUAUUCGUAUUUUGCCUUCUGUCUGUAUACCGCAUGUAUGCCGGAGGCCCUCAAAGACCGGAAGAGGACGUCAGGUUGCCUGGAGUCAGAGUUGUGAGCCACCGUGUGGCUGCUGGGAAUUGAACUCUGGUCUUCUGGAAGAACAGCCAGUGCUCUUACUCACUAAACCAUCUCUCCAGCCUGUAGAUGAAUAAUUUUUGAGCAUUUCAAGCUCCCUGUAGAAUAUGAUGUGCAGGCAGAACAAUGUGUGUGCUCAUACCCGGGCUUUUGUUUUGUUUCUUUGGAAACAAGGUUUUGCGGUUUAGCCUUGAACUUGCCGUGUAUCCCAGGCUGAACUCAGAUUCACCGCAAUCCUCCUCCCUCUCCCUGCCGUGUGCUGGAUACUGGCAUUAUAAGGAUGUCCCAUAAUGCUGGGCCAUACCUGUGUGUUCGUGUGUGUGUGUGCGUGUGUGCGUGUAGUUAUCCUAUUUAUGCCUAUGUGCCUAUGUGAAUGAACUCAAGUAUGUGCAGGUGUCUGAGGAGGCCCAGCACCUGCUCAGUGGGUGUUCUGCUGACCUACGCUGAGGUCUUUAAUGAUCUACCUCACCUUCCAAAGUGAGGUGCCCACUCGAGUCUUAGGCUAUUUUCCUCCUGGUUUUGUGAAUUUUAAAAUGUGGGUGCAUGUGGAAGUGACCCCAGAGAUCAGCCUCAGGUGUAGCUCCUCAGGCAAUGCUCAGUUUCAAAAGUAAAGAGACAAGUUCUCUUAUUGGCCAGCCAGUAAGCUUAGCCCCAGAGAUCCUGCUGUCUCUGCUUCCCUACCGUUGGGACUAUAAAUCUGUGCCCAGAUUUUUGACAUGGGUUCUGUGGAUGGACCACGGGUCCUCAUGCUUGCACACAAGCACUUUACCAGCUGAGCUAUGCUGGGCCCACGGUUUUGCUAGUUUUUCUGCAGGCAGCUUUCUUACAGGUUUUUAGAUUUUUUUUGUACUUAUUUGUUAUUUCUGCAGUACACACGCAUAUCACUCCAGUCCCUUGCACAAUUUACCACUGAGUAACACACAUACCUAGACACGUUUGCUUUCUUAUUUACCAAUAUUCUAUGCUCUUUUAAUAAGAGCAUAGAGUAGUACACUCAAUGUUUGUGCCUUUUUCUUCUUCUUCUUUUUUUUUUUUUUCUCAAGACAGGGCUUCUCUGUGUAGCGCUGGCUGCCCUAGACUCACUUUGUAGACCAGGUUGUCCCGGAGCUCACAGCCCUUCUCCUGCCUCUGCCUCCCUGAGUGCUGGGAUUAACUGCGUGCGCCACUACGCGGCAAUGUUUGUGUCUUUUAUUAAGCCUUUUUUUUAACCUGAGAGACGUAGGCAUUCCCCUGUGCUGUCACCCCGAGCUUCACGUGCUUCCUUCACUUUCAGGUCGACAAAAUUCUCGUGGGAUUUACUGCUGUGUGCUUGGCGUAAAUUAGAGAGGAAUCCGAUUUCGUAUUUUUCCAUAUGAACGAUCCGAUGUCGAGUAGGUCUUUUCCCCUGCUCUGCUGUGCUACCUUUCAUUAUUAUUUAUUUGUGUGUGUGUGUGUGUGUGUGACACUUUUGGUAUGGACUGUCUAUGGGGGAGGGGCUGUUUCUUGGUUCUCGACUCUGACCCGUCGGUAUGUUCACCUCUUCAGCGUCCAGCUGACAACAAGCAGCUUUAUCGUUCCGUCCCUCCUCCUCUCACGCCUUGACAUUUUUCUUUUCAAAGCCGAUCCAUUCGGGGGCUCGGAGCAGCGCGUGGGUCGGGUCCGGAAGGGGCGUGCUCAGAGGAUUAACAGCACCGAGGAGGUGAGGCUCCUUCUCGUUCCCAGGGCACCCUCCCCGGGGUGGGAGCCUGGGCCGCGGUGCCCAUCCCUCCGUGGGGAGACGGCGAUGCGUCAGCAGGCGCCCUCGUCCCCGGCCCCGCGGGGGAAGCCACGUCUCACACGCGCGACACCAGCGCGGAGGGCAGUCCUCCCCGAGCGUCCUUUCCCCGCGGCCCCACGCCCGCGCGAUGCCGCCGGAGGAGCCCUGAGGCGAGUUCCGUCCUCCGCUCCGAGAAGCGCCCGGGGACGGUGAGCCACGGAGACGCCCGGACCACCACACGGGUCUCUGACCUCUAAUCGCACAAACCUCCGGGAGCCACUCGCUCCCGACCAAUCAGGAUUCCCCUGGCGCCGCUAUGCCCGCCCUCCGGCCCCGUCCGGCUACCUCAUUCGCGGCUCAUAAAGCAAUCCGGCCGUUCGUUCUGCACGCCAGCCAAUCAGAGGACAGGGGGGCGGGGACUUCCAAGCGCGCCUGAGUGCGGCCGUCCCCGGACAGGAGAGCCUCGGGAUCCUUCGGCUCCUUUCGUUUUCCCUCCAGGGCAAAGUUAUAUUCAGUCGUUCCGUCAACACGUUUAUUUUUCCGCCCGGCUCGGCGCGCGUGCGCAGUGCCUGCCAGCCCAGGCUGUUCCUGAGAUGUAAGACCCGAGAAGGGAAGCUGAACGGCCAUCCUGCAGAUCAUUGCUCAGCUGGCCUUGGUGGUCAACGGAGACAACCCCACCCCCACAAACUUGUAUUGAGACAGAAGACAGACCCAAUGAAAACAGCUCUGCCUUCCACUUCGGAAGCUUAAGAUGCCACCCACAUGCAAACGGAAGAGCUACGCAGUAGUGCAGUCUAUUUGCUGUGUGACAUUGUGUUAGUCAGGGUUCUAAAGGGUAACAGAGCUUAUAGAAUGAAUAUAUAUAUUAUUAAUAUAACAUGUUAUAUAAACAUAUUAUAUAACAGUAUUGUGAAUGAAUGUAUGUAUACAUAAGAGGGAGCGAGGAAGAUGGAGUCAUGAACCCAGGAAACAGACUCCAGAGACCAGCGUCGAGGUGCAGAUCUAUUUUAUUGUGAAGCAGCAAGCCUUUUUAUACGACCUUUGGGCCAGUGGGGAGUUGACAGGAGCUUUGGGGUAGCCAACCAUCCCACUGUCACUUCGAGGAGAUAGCAGGCCUGCAGCACCUGAAGGGACUUCCUUAUGGACCAGGAAAGCAGCCACUGCCCUGCUCCGGGCACAUUUUGAGGUUCUGGUAGAUUGCUAGGAUCAUCUGUUUUGUGUCAGGAGAUAGGCCAGCAGAUAUGGGCACUUGGACCAUAGAGUGGUGUGGAAGCCUCUCUCACUGUCUGACACCGGUCCCUACCCAGGGUCCACAGCACCCACAAUAUAAAUGUAUAUAUUUAUAUAAAUAUCUCAUAAAUAUAUUAAUAUAUGUCCAAUUAAAGGUAUGUCUUCCCACCUCAAGAUCUGGAUGAAAAGUGGAUCUUAACUAUUUCAAAUAAAACAAAAUCCCUCACAGGCGAGCCCUCCGUUUUUGGAUUUAGUCAAGUUGACGUCCAAAAUAAGCCUCAUGGGUCUUACUUCCUUGAGGAAUUCAAUGUUUUGCAAGUCUGGGUGACACCAGCACUGUGCCCAAAGCAAAUGCACUUACUCUCCAGGCUCAGUGUUCGUGUGUUCCCAUGUGUUCAUGCAUGAACCUGUCUUUAGCUUGAUUGGUUGGACUUGGACAGGAUCCAGAGACUAAUACUCAGAAGCCAUAGAUUUUAGAAUUGGAUCCAAUUCUGGUGGUGUCUCUGACACCCAUUGACCUUAGUGCCAUAGGGCAGCCAUGCCAUGGCCACUGACUCCUCAAGUGACAACCCAAGCAAACGGGCCUUUCUGGGUUCUUGGUCACCCCAGGCCCCUGGAUUCCUGGCCACUUUCCUGAGCUUGUUUCAUCCACCCCCUUCUAGUGCUAUGCGCUAUCCACCAUCCUUCUGGUAAGUUCCUCUUCUGUAUAAUGCAUGGCAUCCUUUACCCAUGCAUGCAGUCAAGAACAUGGUUAGCCCAAGCCCCCAAAAGCUUCGUUGUCAGCAGCGUGGCCAUUUGUCUUUAUAACUCUUACAUACUAUCAGAAGAAACACUAAAUGUUUUCUGUUUUGAGGAAUAAACCAUUCCAACCUUGUACUUCUGUUAGGGGUUACUGUCCUUCAAGGCUGAGCCUGAACACCAGCCAUUUUUAGGCCUCAGUUUUCUUGCUUGUUUCUUACAAAGGUUUUAGGUAGCAUAAGCCUAUAAUCUCAGCACUGUGAGGUUUUAGGUAGCAUAAGCCUAUAAUCUCAGCACUGUGAGGCCACUGGCAGGCUGCUCUCUGUGAGUUCUAGGACAGCUAGGGCUACAUAGAGAGACUUGCCUGCCCACAAAUGGUCCUAUGACUCACACAGGACAGACACAAUGUCACAGUCUCCCCCACCCCUGUCCUCUCUCCCUCUCUAGGGUUUCACUAUGCCCCACAACUUGCUAUGUAGACCAAAGAUCAAAGACAUCAACUGGCCUGGUGUGAUUUCUCAAGAGCUAGUGUAGGUCAGGAUUAUGUCCCUACAGCGGGUAGGCCACAGAUCCUUCUGUGUUUACAAGAGUGACAGUGACUCCUACUGCUGUGGAUAGAAACAGGUUUGUUUUGGUCCCAGGUGUGGGAUGUGGGACUGAUUCAAAUAGUCCACAACAGCAGACUGCCUCAUGGGGGCUUUGAGAAGAGCUCUGUGCCAGCUGCAGGUAGUUUAAAUCUGAGGACUCUGGAGAGGGGAUAAAUGCCAGAGCCCAGAGAGUGGAGAGGACAAAGAUCAAGGCUGCUGCUGCUUUCCCCCUUGCUGCUCCUAGUUGCUGCUAUGAGACAAGAAGGUGGAGAUUGGGCUGGAGAGAUGGCUCAGAAGUUAAGAGCACUGUCUGCUCUUCCAAAGGUCCUGAGUUCAAUUCCCGGCAACCAUAUGGUGGCUCACAACCAUCUGUAGUAAAAAUCCGAUGCCCUCUGCUGUCCUGAGGCACACAUGCAGGCAGAACACUGAAUAAUAAAUAAAUCUUUAAAAAAAAAAAAAAAAAAAAAAGGUGGAGAUCUCCUGAAAUGAGGAUUGGACCGGCUCCAAGGAACCCGACAGCCCUGACAAGCAGGAAGCACCUAAGAGAACUGUACUCCUUCUCCCACCAACCCUUUCUCUCUCCUACCUGGUGUUGGGGUGUUAGAAGGGAUUGGGAUGGAGUAGGGAGAAAAAGAUAAAAGAAAUGAAAUGUAAAUCAGUUUUGGUUUUUUGUUUUUUUUAAAGUAUGCCAUCUCGGUGACAUUAAAGGAUUGCUCUCCUUGUCUUUGCUUGCUGCAGUUAGAGGAAAGGGAUUCAGUUUUUCCACCCACUGUCUCCAUUUGAUGUGGCUGGGAAAUCUCAGAGUAGGCCCUAGAGCUUGCUAGUCUUUAAAUAUGGCUACUGUCUUACCCGACUUGGUGACUGAACUGCUUGCUAGGGACAUAGGAGCACCCGAAGGAAGAAAUGUUCUCAUUUUGGGCCCAGAGACUCUUAAUACCAUACUGUCAUGUGACACUACCCUUAGGAAGGUGUGAACAAACAUAACUCCAAUUAGGGAACCAAUGACAGAGCAAAAUAAGGACUCUACUCAAGCCCAAUAUAGUGGACCAACGAGUUUUAUUGGGAUUACUUACAGACAUAUGGGUGAGGGUUUAUUACAGAAAAGGAAAUGACUCAAAAGACAGCUGUACCAUGAGAGCUCACCAUGUCACAAAAGAAGUAAACUUGGAGUCUUCUGUACCAUUUGCAGGCAGCUUGACAGGUUAGAAAACGUCUGUUGCAGGGAGCUCAGCUUGGCUGAGAAUGCCUCUUAGCACCUUUUAUCUACUUGGGAGGGAGGGGCCUACUGUGUCUGGUAGGUUUCAGGGACUUCCUGAAGCCUUUGGGUUGAAUGUAAUGUUUCACAUCCCUUGAGAACAUUUAGUGCUCCUGGGGAAGAGGGGUUACUGGAUUGUAGAGGAAUUUUAAUACAGAAGAUGGCCAUCCUGGCAAGAGAUCACAUCCAAAGACCUUCUAGGUUUGUGUGAUAUGGCUGGAAUACAAACAUACCUUUAAUCCAGGAGACAGAGGCAAGCAGAUCUGAAUUCAAGGCCAACCUGGUAUAGAGCAAGUUUCAAGUAAAGAAAAGCUUAGAUCCAGGUGUGGUGGUACAUACCUUUAAUCCCAAACAAUGAAAGUAAAGAUAGUUUGUAGAAGGAAGCACCCAUGUUUGAAAGUGACACCUAAUUGAGUGGCAGAAGAGGUGACAAAUCAGAGAAAGAUUUGACAAAAUAGGAUAACCCAACUCAGGAGAAGAGAGGGGAACUAUUGAGGGAGCAACACAGAGAAUGAGAGAAAAGGUAGCUUUUACUGGGAUAGUUUUACAGAGAGAGGUUGAAUAAGCGGAUAAGCUAGACACAGGUGAAGACCAAAUGAGUGAGCCGGCGAAUGAGAAGGAGCCAGAAGAUUAGAAAAGAUUGCUCCAGUUAGUUUGAUGCCAACUAGAGCAAUUCAGGGACUGAGAGAGAAGCCAGAUUGAAUAAAUCACCUGGGAGAGGAGUUUGAAGCAGAACAGCUGAGUUGAAUCAGACAGCCCAGAGCUCAGUAAGAACAAGAAAGGGUGAGUUUAUUAAGCAGCAAGUUUGAGAGGCUGAAAACCCUAAGACAGUGCGCGGAGGCUAGAAGCUUCCAGGACUAGGCCUAGGUUAGCAGAAGGAGGUAGUAAGCCCCUGAGACAAUGGAAACAGACAAAAGUUCCUUUUACACUAGAUCAUAGUUUCUCUCUCCUGGAGAGAUGGUUCUAGAUCUUGAAGUAGAGAAGGCACUGUGCUUGGGCAUGCUGAUGAUAAUCCUGUCAAACUGGAGGAUGGCGUAGUUGCUGCCAGAGUGCCUGGAGUUACAGACUGCAGCCACGCCUUGCUUUGUGUUCUGGGAAUCUGGACUCAAGUCCUCAAGCUUGGGCAGCUUCUGAGCCAUUUCCCCAGCCUGAUUUGGGUUUUGUUUUUAAAUAUUAAAAAAAAAAAUUCAUCAAGCCGGGUGCACACCUGUAAUCCCAGCACUCUGGGAGGCAGAGGCAGGCAGAUCUCUGUGAGUUCAAGUCCAGCCUGGUCUAUAAAGUGAGUCCAGGCCGCCAGGGCUACACUGAGAAACCCUGUCUCGAAAAAUCACAAAACAAACAAAAUGCUCAGUCUAUAGCCCUGGCUGGUGGAUCUCUGAAUUCAAAGCUGGCAUUAGCUGGUCUCCCUCACCCCUUCCCUUUCCAUCCUCCUCUUCAGUGUUCGGCUUUUUUUUCUUCUUCUUUUUUGUUUGUUUGUUUUUCUCCAGACAAGGUUUCUCUGUGUAGCCUUAGCUGUCCUGGAAUUUAGCUCUGUACACUAGCCUGGCUUCAAACUCACAGAGAUCUGCCUGCCUCUGCCUUCCUGAGUGCUGCCACCACCGGGCCCCUGUCUUUGUCUCUUAUUCCCUGCUCUUUGCCCCUCCAGGGCAGAUAAUCUUUGUGCUGAGAACUUGGCCUUGGGGUAUCUCCAGCCAACUUCGAGGUCCCUACAACAGCUCCAGCUCCUGGCUACUUUGUCCCCCUGUUCCUCUUGUUGGGAGUCUGCUUUUGGUAUCCCUAAUGACCAGUCCUUUUUUCUUUUUCUUUUUCUUUGUUGUUGUUGCUAGCAGCCAGUCUGUUUAUUUGAACUUCCUGUCCCUUGCACCUUUAAGUGGAGCACUGGAGACGGUUCUUGAAGUAGUGGAGCGCAAGCUUGAAUUGGACCUGAGAAUUGGUGUUGGUGCGGAUGGGAUCAAAACCAACUCUUCGGAGUUGCUCUGUGUGAGCCAAGAAGAAGUUGGUAACGCCACUGGCCACCGUGCAUCCGGGGAAGCCGUCCAGGGCCCGGAACGCUCCCCACCUCUGGUGAAGGCAGUCUCCGUUCUCACUCUGUUCCAACAACAGCCUGAACUGGAAAGUGUUCCCCUGCACGCUGCCGCCCACCUAGGCCACAAACAGAAACCGGGGUCUGAGCAGGCUCAGUACUCUUCCCCUCUAGGAAGCCUCGCUCCACCGCACCCCCAUGGGAGUAAAUGCUGUACUCUAUGGAGCUAGCCUCCUCAGGGCCCUCAGAGGCUCUGCCCUUCCUGCACUGCUCCUGGGUCCUUCAGAUCAUCGAAUCCCUAUCUCCACAUACAGGCACUCACAUACAAAUGUGUAUACAUACACAUACACACUUGCUUUAUAGCCAAGGCUGGCCUUGAACUCCUGCUUCCACAGGCGUGCACCAGCACACACAGUGUAUAUCUUUAGGGGUUUGGGUUUUGUUGUUGUCUUUGAGGUAGGGAUCUAUUUUGUAGAUCAGGCUGGCCUUGAACUCACAGAGAUCCUCCUGCCUCUGUCUCCCCAGUGCUGGGAUUAAAUACAUGUCCAACUGUAUUUUUAUACUUAAAAAACAAAACAAUGUCAUGGGGUGGAGGGUAGAGAGUAGUUAAAAGCACUUGUUCUUGCAGAGGACCAGGUUCUGUUCCCAUCUGGCACCCACACGGCAAUUCAUAUCCAUCUGUAACUCCAGUUCUGGGAUAUCCAGCACCACGAGUUCACAGAUACAUAGGCAGCAAAACAACUAUACACAUAAAAUAAAAUAAAAUAAAAAAAAUCAGUAAAUCUAAAAAAGCUUGGGACCAAAGAAGAACACAGUUCUCUUAAACCUCAUAUAGUCCAAGAAAAUCAGAAAUGAUGCGUAAACGGGCUGUUUUGAAAAUUGAACAACUUCAGACUUUUUUAGUGUGGUGUAUAAAAUCUGCUCAAGGGAAGCCAUUGGGGAGUCAAAAGCAGAACGCACGUGCUCUCCAGCCUUCCUGCGAGGCCCUCUCCUGCCUUGUCCUCCUCUCUGCUCCUCCCUCAGACACUGGCGUUCCUUUCUCUUCCUCUGUCCUUUCCCCUCACCUCAGGCUACAGCCGGCUGAACUUGGCCUUUGAACCUUACCACAUCCAGUUCAGUUUUCUCCAGGACAUCCACCAGCACCUCAAUCUUGGUGUUGUUGUUGAAGAGAAAGUCAUCAUCUACCCAGAGGACAUAUUUGGUGGUCACCUGUGAGAUGGCCAGGUUUCUACCAGCAAACCAGCCCUGUGGGUAGCAUGGGGUUAGAUCAGCAGCUGUCCCCUGGCAGGGUGAGGCUUUCGGAAUUCCCAGUGGCCAGGCUGCCUCCCACCAUGGACAAAGUUGGAGUGUGUGAGAUUCCACAGUUCAGACAACUACUGGGUCAAAGGAGUCCACCUCAGAGAAUCAUGUUAGGGACAGCAACCUUCUGGAUCAGAGGCUGAGACAAAGACUGGAAAGCCCCUCCUUGGACCAGUGGCCUCUGUGUAUAGGCUGGAGUCCUUUCUCACCAUACAGUUUCCUUCUACUUCCUGGGAGAUGGUGGUUUGGGGAACGUCUGCUAUCAGUGAUAUCCCUCCCUCUUCUAUCCUUGGUGGAAGAUGGGAAGGAAAGAGGGAGGGAAGGAAGCAGACAAGGAGGGAGGAAGGGAGAGCCUAGCUUGGGCACAAUCCCAGGGAACAAAAGGCUGCCGUUAACCCACACACAAUCAGAUGUUAGCUCCCUUAAGUCACUUAAAAGAACCCCUGUAAGGAGCUGGAGAGAUAGCUCAGAGGUUAAGAGCACUGGCUGCUCUCCCAGAGGUCCUCUGAGUUCAAUUCCCAGCAACCACAUGGUGGCUCACAACCAUCUAUAAUGAGAUCUGGUGCCCUCUUCUGAUGUGAAGGCAUACAUGCAGAUAUUGUAUAUAUAAUAAAUAAAUUAAUUUUAAAAAA